CGCCGAACAUAUCCCGCCUCUAAUCCUCCCAAAAUCUAACGUCCCUCCAACUCUACACAACGCCAUGUUUUUUUUCCUUUGGCACUGCACAACGAUUCAAAAAGCUUUCCUUUUUCUUUGUGGGAUUUUCAUUCUUGGAAUUUUUGUGAGUGUUUCUGUUCUCUCCUACGAUUGCUGUAGGAUCCGUCUGCCCAAUUGCCACUGCAAUCAGGCCUUUUAUCCCUAUCGGUUAUAUCCGGUGGAGGCGCAUGCUGAUUGUGGCGGAGGAUGAACGGUGAUUCGUUGAAUUUCUGAUUUACCGACUUUUUUCCGUGGCUGUGCUCUUUUCUCUCCAUCGCGUUUUCUGUAGGUUAUUUUUCUCUCAAUUACCAAGGCAACAGCCAAUUAUAUUAGACUAUAGGAGAUGUUGCAUGGUUAGUUGUGGCGGUGGAUAGGAUUGGUGAAUCGGUGGAUUCUGGUAUGGUGUUUGAUGAUCUAUUAUGCUACUUUCAGUCUGGUAAGGUGUUUUAUGAUAUAUUUUGCUACUUUCAGUCUGGUAUGAGGUUUGAUCAUCUGUUCUGCUAAUUUCAGUCUGGUAUGGUGUUUUACUGA
Molecule: long non-coding RNA, 591 nt
Organism: Gossypium arboreum
Lineage: Eukaryota; Viridiplantae; Streptophyta; Magnoliopsida; Malvales; Malvaceae
Exons: 2
Source: RefSeq, a predicted model, not a curated record